Molecule: ribosomal RNA, 419 nt
Filed under: uncultured bacterium
Lineage: Bacteria
Description: partial 16S ribosomal RNA
Rfam family: Bacterial small subunit ribosomal RNA
Source: RNAcentral
UGGGGAAUUUUGGACAAUGGGCGAAAGCCUGAUCCAGCAAUGCCGCGUGUGUGAAGAAGGCCUUCGGGUUGUAAAGCACUUUUGUCCGGAAAGAAAUCCUUGGCUCUAAUACAGUCGGGGGAUGACGGUACCCGGAAGAAUAAGCACCGGCUAACUACGUGCCAGCAGCCGCGGUAAUACGUAGGGUGCAAGCGUUAAUCGGAAUUACUGGGCGUAAAGCGUGCGCAGGGCGGUUUGCUAAGACCGAUGUGAAAUCCCCGGGCUCAACCUGGGAACUGCAUUGGUGACUGGCAGGCUAGACGUAUGGCAGAGGGGGUAGAAUUCCACGUGUGAGCAGUGAAAUGCGUAGAGAUGUGGAGGAAUACCGAUGGCGAAGGCAGCCCCCUGGGCCAAGUACUGACGCUCAUGCACGAAAGCGU